Molecule: ribosomal RNA, 1019 nt
Filed under: Oedichirus sp. NHMD zmuc00046231
Lineage: Eukaryota; Metazoa; Arthropoda; Insecta; Coleoptera; Staphylinidae
Description: partial large subunit ribosomal RNA
Rfam family: Eukaryotic large subunit ribosomal RNA
Source: RNAcentral
GUAGCGGCGAGCGAACAGGGAUAAGCCCAGCACUGAAUCCCGCGGCCGACUUCGGACGCCGGGAAAUGUAGUGUUAGGGAGGGUCCGCUAUCCCGAGAUCGUGCGGCGAGUUCAAGUCCUCCUUGAACGGGGCCACUCACCCACAGAGGGUGCCAGGCCCGUAGCGGCCGCCGCCGAUAGCGGGAGGAUCUCUCCUCAGAGUCGGGUUGCUUGAGAGUGCAGCCCUAAGUGGGUGGUAAACUCCAUCUAAGGCUAAAUAUAACCACGAGACCGAUAGCGAACAAGUACCGUGAGGGAAAGUUGAAAAGAACUUUGAAGAGAGAGUUCAAUAGUACGUGAAACCGUUCAGGGGUAAACCUGAGAAGCCCGAAAGUUCGAACGGGGAGAUUCAGCGCGUCUCGGCGACCGUGCGAGUUUUGGUCGGGUGACGGUUCGGCGUUCGCGUCGGGCCGCACCGAUCGAAGCCGUUGCCGGCGACGAAGCGUGCCACUUCUACCCUUGUAGGACGUCGCGACCCGUUGGGUGUCGGUCUUAAGGUUNCGCGGUGGAGCCCGUCGGGGCGCGGCUCUUGUGGUCGUGCUCCCGUGCGGACCCGCGAAAUUUUCCUGGCCGACUCGCUCGACGGUAUAGAAACGAUGGCGGUGGGUCGCAAAUUUUGUUUGCGUCCGGCCCGUUGUCGGCGCGGUUGCUAUCGCCCGGCUGUCGGACUGUUGUGCCGACACCGGGAGCCGACCGUUGCCGUGCAACGGUGUCCUCGGACGGGCCCUUAAAUUACACGCUUGUCUGCGACGCUUUAGGUUUGGGCACUUUCAGGACCCGUCUUGAAACACGGACCAAGGAGUCUAGCAUGUGCGCGAGUCAUUGGGAUUUAUUCUAAACCUAAAGGCGAAAUGAAAGUGAGGAUUUGCCUUCGGUGCAAUCCUAGGGAGGAUGGCCGUCGAUGUUUUUAACAUCACGGCUCGCACUCCCGGGGCGUCUCGUUCUCAUUACGAGAUGAGGCGCACCCAGAGCGUACACGC